RNAcentral lists this ribosomal RNA (383 nucleotides) under Caudatoscelis marmorata. RNAcentral's name for it is "partial 12S ribosomal RNA". The record is from RNAcentral. Lineage: Eukaryota; Metazoa; Arthropoda; Insecta; Mantodea; Amorphoscelidae.
AUUAGAUACCCUAUUAUUUUUAUUGUAAAAUUUAUUUUAAUAAGCUAGAGUAAUAUUAGUUAAGAUCUUAAAACUUAAAGAAUUUGGCGGUAUUAUAAUCUAUUUAGAGGAAUCUGUUAUGUAAUCGAUAAUCCACGUUGAACCUUACUUAUAUUAGUUCUUGUAUACCGCUGUUUAUGAAUAUAUUAAGAAAUAAUAUUCGGAAUAAAUUAGUAAUUAAAAUUUCAAGUCAAGGUGCAGUAAUAUAUAUGUUGAAUAAUGGAUUACAAUAAAUUAAAUUUAAAUGGAUAGUUUUUGAAAAAGAAUUAUGAAGGUGGAUUUAUUAGUAAUUUUUUUAAGAUUAUUAAAAUGAUUAGAGCUCUAUAAUAUGUACACAUCGCCCG